RNAcentral lists this unclassified non-coding RNA (240 nucleotides) under soil metagenome. RNAcentral's name for it is "partial contains 5.8S ribosomal RNA, internal transcribed spacer 2, and large subunit ribosomal RNA". The record is from RNAcentral.
AACAAGGCGUACCUGCGGACCUGCGGAGGGAUCAUUAUCGAGUUCUGACUGGGUUGUAGCUGGCCUUCCGAGGCAUGUGCACGCCCUGCUCAUCCACUCUACACCUGUGCACUUACUGUGGGCUUCAGAUCGUAAAACGCGGGUCCCUUUACCGGGCUUGCGGAGCGUGUCUGUGCCUGCGUUUAUCACAAACUCUAUAAAGUAUCAGAAUGUGUAUUGCGAUGAUGUAACGCAUCUAUA